UUGGAGGGCAAGUCUGGUGCCAGCAGCCGCGGUAAUUCCAGCUCCAAUAGCGUAUAUUAAAGUUGUUGCAGUUAAAAAGCUCGUAGUUGAAUUUCGGGAUCAAAUUGUCGGUCGUGCCUCGGUACGAACUGGUAUUAUUGGUUCCUACCUUCUGAAGAACCGCGAUGUCAUUAAUUUGGUGUCGUGGGGAAUCAGGACUGUUACUUUGAAAAAAUUAGAGUGUUUAAAGCAGGCUUACGCUUGAAUACAUUAGCAUGGAAUAAUGAAAUAGGACGUUUGGUUCUAUUUUGUUGGUUUCUAGGAUUGACGUAAUGAUUAAUAGGGAUAGUUGGGGGCAUUAGUAUUCAAUUGUCAGAGGUGAAAUUCUUGGAUUUAUUGAAGACUAACUACUGCGAAAGCAUUUGCCAAGGAUGUUUUCAUUAAUCAAGAACGAAAGUUAGGGGAUCGAAGACGAUCAGAUACCGUCGUAGUCUUAACCAUAAACUAUGCCGACUAGGGAUCGGAUGAUGUUAAUUUUUUAAUGACUCAUUCGGCGCCUUACGGGAAACCAAAGUGUUUGGGUUC
RNAcentral lists this ribosomal RNA (564 nucleotides) under uncultured Glomeromycotina. RNAcentral's name for it is "SSU rRNA". It matches the Rfam family "Eukaryotic small subunit ribosomal RNA", at positions 548 to 1114 of the family's 1831-position model. The record is from RNAcentral. Lineage: Eukaryota; Fungi; Glomeromycota.